AGUGAACGCUGGCGGUAGGCCUAACACAUGCAAGUCGAACGGCAGCACAGUAAGAGCUUGCUCUUACGGGUGGCGAGUGGCGGACGGGUGAGGAAUACAUCGGAAUCUACUUUUUCGUGGGGGAUAACGUAGGGAAACUUACGCUAAUACCGCAUACGACCUACGGGUGAAAGCAGGGGAUCUUCGGACCUUGCGCGAUUGAAUGAGCCGAUGUCGGAUUAGCUGGUUGGCGGGGUAAAGGUCCACCAAGGCGACGAUCCGUAGCUGGUCUGAGAGGAUGAUCAGCCACACUGGAACUGAGACACGGUCCAGACUCCUACGGGAGGCAGCAGUGGGGAAUAUUGGACAAUGGGCGCAAGCCUGAUCCAGCCAUACCGCGUGGGUGAAGAAGGCCUUCGGGUUGUAAAGCCCUUUUGUUGGGAAAGAAAAGCAGCAGGUUAAUACCCCGCUGUUCUGACGGUACCCAAAGAAUAAGCACCGGCUAACUUCGUG
RNAcentral lists this ribosomal RNA (492 nucleotides) under uncultured bacterium. RNAcentral's name for it is "partial 16S ribosomal RNA". It matches the Rfam family "Bacterial small subunit ribosomal RNA", at positions 29 to 507 of the family's 1533-position model. The record is from RNAcentral.